Molecule: ribosomal RNA, 467 nt
Filed under: uncultured microorganism
Description: bacterial SSU rRNA
Rfam family: Bacterial small subunit ribosomal RNA
Source: RNAcentral
GAGUUUGAUCAUGGCUCAGAGCGAACGCUGGCGGCAGGCUUAACACAUGCAAGUCGAGCGGGCGUAGCAAUACGUCAGCGGCAGACGGGUGAGUAACACGUGGGAACGUACCUUUUGGUUCGGAACAACUGAGGGGAAACUUCAGCUAAUACCGGAUAAGCCCUAACGGGGAAAGAUUUAUCGCCGAAAGAUCGGCCCGCGUCUGAUUAGCUAGUUGGUGAGGUAAUGGCUCACCAAGGCGACGAUCAGUAGCUGGUCUGAGAGGAUGAUCAGCCACACUGGGACUGAGACACGGCCCAGACUCCUACGGGAGGCAGCAGUGGGGAAUAUUGGACAAUGGGGGCAACCCUGAUCCAGCCAUGCCGCGUGAGUGAUGAAGGCCCUAGGUUGUAAAGCUCUUUUGUGCGGGAAGAUAAUGACGGUACCGCAAGAAUAAGCCCCGACUAACUUCGUGCCAGCGCCGCUGU